This 439-nucleotide ribosomal RNA is filed under the name uncultured bacterium. Its description in RNAcentral is "partial 16S ribosomal RNA". It matches the Rfam family "Bacterial small subunit ribosomal RNA", at positions 338 to 795 of the family's 1533-position model. The record is from RNAcentral.
CCUACGGGGGGCAGCAGUGGGGGAUAUUGCACAAUGGAGGAAACUCUGAUGCAGCGACGCCGCGUGAGGGAAGACGGUCUUCGGAUUGUAAACCUCUGUCUUUGGGGAAGAAAAUGACGGUACCCAAAGAGGAAGCUCCGGCUAACUACGUGCCAGCAGCCGCGGUAAUACGGAGGAUGCGAGCGUUAUCCGGAUUCAUUGGGUUUAAAGGGUGCGCAGGCGGGCCUUUAAGCCGGCGGUGAAAUCGCGGGGCUCAACCCCGCCGAGCCGUCGGAACUGGGGGCCUUGAGUGCGGCGGAGGCAUGCGGAAUGCGCGGUGUAGCGGUGAAAUGCAUAGAUAUCGCGCAGAACCCCGAUUGCGAAGGCAGCGUGCCGUGCCGCCACUGACGCUGAGGCACGAAAGCGCGGGGAUCGAACAGGAUUAGAUACCCUAGUAGUC